AAAAAAGACUGUGUUGGUAUGAACUGGCAGGGAGAGCUGUUACAAUCAUUAGGUUCAGAGCUGCUGGAGGAGUCAUCAACAAGUGGUUGCCCCAGCACCAGUCAAGCAGGACAGAAAAUAAAAGAGUGGGAUGCUGAAGCAAAGCAGCAGUGCAUCUGGUACCAAGGAGAAAGGGCACAUGGUUUUAAUUAUAAUUUUUCAACUAUGAAUCUUUCAGCACUAAUGGAUGGCUGGUCAUACUGGAGAGCAGUUAUGGCAAACAGAAAUCCUUUCUUCAUGAAACGCGGCAGGUUGUCAUAGACCAACGAAACCAAGCAGUGUUGACUUCUUUUCACUGUCAAAUUAGCACCGUCUGAGGAAAGUGAAAAGUUACAGUUUGAAAAAUCUGAAGAGGAGUCUUCCCAAAUGCUGAUGAGUUACCCCCCCUUUGGGGGCUGCUGCUGCUUUUAUCAGUCCUUGAUGUUACUGGUCCUAACUGCAUGGAGCUGAAGCCUCACUUCAAGCCGUGGCAUUGCAUGGCUCGUGGGGAACCCGAUAGGUUCAGUUAAUGCUACUGGGCUCUUUCAUGGACAGCUUGGCAGCUACCCUGAAGAAUGCAGUCCAUGUGUAUUAAUAGACCAGAAAACUGAUUCACUGUUUUAUGUACCUGUGAAAGGAUUUGCCUGGAGGAAGGAGAAAAGGAACCAUUGUCAAAUUCUGGACUGGAGUGAACUGUAAUGCUGAAGUUGUGGUAAGAGGAUUUUCUGGCUGGAGUUUCCCUUGGAGAACUGAGUCGAGCUUAGUGACAGUACUAGAGGGAAUGGCCUGCAGUUGCACCAGGG
RNAcentral lists this long non-coding RNA (821 nucleotides) under Gallus gallus (chicken). RNAcentral's name for it is "lncRNA (ENSGALG00010015219.1)". The record is from RNAcentral. Lineage: Eukaryota; Metazoa; Chordata; Aves; Galliformes; Phasianidae.